UACGUAGGGGGCAAGCGUUGUCCGGAUUUAUUGGGCGUAAAGCGCACGCAGGCGGUGCGGUAAGUUUCGAGUGACAGGUGGUGGCUUAACUGCCACAGGACUCGGAAAACUGCUGCACUUGAGGGCUUGAGAGGGACGCGGAAUUCCUGGUGUAGCGGUGAAAUGCGCAGAUAUCAGGAAGAACACCCGUGGCGAAGGCGGCUUUCUGGGACGGUACUGACGCUGAGACGCGAAAGCGUGGGGAGCGAACAGG
RNAcentral lists this ribosomal RNA (253 nucleotides) under uncultured bacterium. RNAcentral's name for it is "partial 16S ribosomal RNA". It matches the Rfam family "Bacterial small subunit ribosomal RNA", at positions 524 to 776 of the family's 1533-position model. The record is from RNAcentral.